Molecule: small RNA, 1305 nt
Filed under: Pseudoterranova decipiens (codworm)
Lineage: Eukaryota; Metazoa; Nematoda; Chromadorea; Rhabditida; Anisakidae
Description: bacterial SSU rRNA
Rfam family: Eukaryotic small subunit ribosomal RNA (bases 1-447)
Source: RNAcentral
GGAUAAAUAUGUUCGGAAGACUUCUUAGAGGGACAAGCGGUGUUCAGCCGCAUGAAGCUGAGCAAUAACAGGUCUGUGAUGCCCUUAGAUGUCCAGGGCUGCACGCGCGCUACACUGGAGGAAUCAGCGUGCUGUAACCAUUGCCGAAAGGUAUUGGUAACCCCUUGAAAAUCCUCCGUGAUCGGGAGCGGGAAUUGCAAUUAUUUCCCUUGAACGAGGAAUUCCUAGUAAGUGUGAGUCAUCAGCUCACGUUGAUUACGUCCCUGCCCUUUGUACACACCGCCCGUCGCUGCCCGGGACUGAGCCGUUUCGAGAAAAGCGGGGACUGCUGUUUCGAGACCUUUCGGGGUGGAGAUUCUUUGGUGGAAACCGCCUUAAUCGCAGUGGCUUGAACCGGGCAAAAGUCGUAACAAGGUUUCCGUAGGUGAACCUGCGGAAGGAUCAUUAUCGAGCGAAUCCAAAACGAAAAAGUCUCCCAACGUGCAUACCAUCCAUUUGCAUGUUGUUGUGAGCCACAUAGAAACUCAUACACGUGUGGUGGCAGCCGUCUGAUGUGCUUUAUCGUGCAGACAAUGGCUUAUGAGUGGCUGUGUGAUUGUUGAACAACGGUGACCAAUUUGGCGUCUACGCCGUAUCUAGCUUCUGCCUGGACCGUCGGUAGCGAUGAAAGAUGCGGAGGAAGUUCCUCUGUUUUGGUACGCUAAAGCAGAGUUGAGCAGACUUAAUGAGCCACGCUUGGUGGCCGCCAAAACCCAAAACACAACCAGUCUAUUUUAACGUUUGUUGAUAUGUUAAUGUACAAAUCUUGGCGGUGGAUCACUCGGUUCGUGGAUCGAUGAAGAACGCAGCCAGCUGCGAUAAAUAGUGCGAAUUGCAGACACAUUGAGCACUAAGAAUUCGAACGCACAUUGCGCUAUCGGGUUCAUUCCCGAUGGCACGUCUGGCUGAGGGUCGAAUUAUAGUAAACUAUCUUCGAGUACUUUUUAUGGUCGUGAAGUAUUCGGCGAGUAGUGCAGUCGGAUUGUUUUUGUUGGUCGUCCGUUCGUUCGGUCGGUCAACAACAAUAUUCUGAGGCUCCUUGCUUAGUUGUGUUCUAGUAGACGUUAACACCUGAACAAUAUGUGGUGGUGAUAUUGGUGAUGGCGAGAAUCAUGCCGCUUCAAUGGGGCAGCAACCAGCAUACGCUAAUGACAGUUGGUUGAUUGAAGCCAGGGCAACGGAGUGAUGUACGUGUGGCGAUCAUUUAACGUUUAUAUUUGACCUCAGCUCAGUCGUGAUUACCCGCUGAAUUUAAGCAUAUAAUUA